This 982-nucleotide long non-coding RNA is filed under the name Marmota monax (woodchuck). Lineage: Eukaryota; Metazoa; Chordata; Mammalia; Rodentia; Sciuridae. The record is from RNAcentral.
CCUUCUCCCACUGAGCCCUGCCUCCCAAAGACUCUCCCACCUUCUGAGAGUGCCAUGAGCUGGGAAUCAGCACCAUGAUCUAAUGGCACCACAAGUCUUCGAUACAUGGGCCUUUGGGCAAUAUUAUAGUUCCAAACUAGUAUUCUGCCCAUUCCCAAGAGUCCCAAAAGUCUUAACUGUUCCAGUAUUGCUCAAAUGUCUCCUCUGAGACUCAAAGCAGAAAUUUUUAGCUUUAAGCCCCUGUUAAAAUCAGUUACAUACUUUUGAGAUGCAAUGGCACAGGGUAGACAUUUCCAUUUCAAAAGAGAAGAAUAGGAAAAUAGCAAGGAGGGACUAGACCAAAGCAAAACCAGAAACCAGCAGGGCAAACAUCAUAUCGUGUAGCUCCAUGUCUGGUAUUCAGGGCACUAACUGAAUGUGGGCUUCAAGAGCUUGGGCAGCCCCACUCCAUGGCCUUACACUGUGUCUCACUGGCUGCUCUCUUGGGAGGGCUCUGCAUACUUCUGGCACCUUCCUUUAGUAGACAUUCCACAUUCCUGCAUUUCUGCCUUUCAGGGGUCCCAUUGAUUGCAGCUUUGCUUUGGCUCUGUGAGGCUACUUGCAGGAACUCAGACCCUGCCCUGCACUGCCUGGCAUACGAGGUUUUUCUUUGAAAUAUGGGCAGAAGCCUCCAUGAGUGCAUACGUCUUCCGUUCUACAUGCCUGCAAAACCAGCACCGUGAUCUGGUGGCACCAUGAUCUGCCACUAGGACCUGUUGGAACUGAGUGCUUUACCUGAGUGCACACAGGGAAUCAAAUUCCAGGGAAACAAUUCCUAGACAGUCCUGCAAGUCUUUGAAAUGAGUGGCCUAAUCCUAAGAAAUCUUCAAGACAGCUUUCCAGGGCUGGGGAUGUGGCUCAAGCAGUAGCAUGCUCACCUGGUGUGCAUGCGGCCCGGGUUCGAUCCUCAGCACCACAUACAAACGAAGAUGUUGUGUCCGCC